GGGGAAGGGGCGGGGAAGGGGCGACUCUUCUGGAAGCGGAGCCGGGCUGCCACCUGGACUUGCGCACUGAGCGGGGUCUCAUCUCGACAGCCCUUGGGGCGCGUGCUGAGGAGGUCUGUCGGCACCGAGUCACUUUUGUCUGAACACAGUACCUAAGGGACAGAGCGUGCUGUGGCGUUUUCUCCCGCCUGCCAAAGGCUCCGGCUCAGGCAACGUCUUACAUCUUUGAUGCUGAUGAAAGGCGCCUGCCUCCUUGUGUGGUAAUACAUCAUUUGACGAUGCUCGUAUCUGCUGUACUUUAUAAUAAACUUACUUUCAACUUUUUUAAA
Long non-coding RNA from Heterocephalus glaber (naked mole-rat), 329 nucleotides. RefSeq lists it as uncharacterized. The record is from RefSeq and is a predicted model, not a curated record. Lineage: Eukaryota; Metazoa; Chordata; Mammalia; Rodentia; Bathyergidae.